Molecule: ribosomal RNA, 500 nt
Filed under: uncultured bacterium
Lineage: Bacteria
Description: partial 16S ribosomal RNA
Rfam family: Bacterial small subunit ribosomal RNA
Source: RNAcentral
AUUGAACGCUGGCGGAAUGCUUUACACAUGCAAGUCGAACGGCAGCACGGACUUCGGUCUGGUGGCGAGUGGCGAACGGGUGAGUAAUGUAUCGGAACGUGCCCAGUCGUGGGGGAUAACGUAGUGAAAAUUACGCUAAUACCGCAUACGAUCUAUGGAUGAAAGCGGGGGAUCGCAAGACCUCGCGCGAUUGGAGCGGCCGAUAUCAGAUUAGGUAGUUGGUGGGGUAAAGGACCACCAAGACAACGAUCUGUAGCUGGUCUGAGAGGACGACCAGCCACCAUGGAACUGAGACACGGUCCAGACGCCUACGGGAGGCAUCAGUGGGGAAUUUUGGACAAUGGGCGAAAGCCUGAUCCAGCCAUUCCGCGUGCAGGAUGAAGGCCCUCGGGUUGUAAACUGCUUUUGUACAGAACGAAAAGGUUUCUACUAAUACUAGGAGCUCAUGACGGUACUGUAAGAAUAAGCACCGGCUAACUACGUGCCAGCAGCCGCCGUAA